AGAGUUUGAUCCUGGCUCAGGAUGAACGCUGGCGGCAUGCCUAAUACAUGCAAGUCGAACGAAGUUUCGAGGAAGCUUGCUUCCAAAGAGACUUAGUGGCGAACGGGUGAGUAACACGUAGGUAACCUGCCCAUGUGUCCGGGAUAACUGCUGGAAACGGUAGCUAAAACCGGAUAGGUAUACAGAGCGCAUGCUCAGUAUAUUAAAGCGCCCAUCAAGGCGUGAACAUGGAUGGACCUGCGGCGCAUUAGCUAGUUGGUGAGGUAACGGCCCACCAAGGCGAUGAUGCGUAGCCGGCCUGAGAGGGUAAACGGCCACAUUGGGACUGAGACACGGCCCAAACUCCUACGGGAGGCAGCAGUAGGGAAUUUUCGUCAAUGGGGGGAACCCUGAACGAGCAAUGCCGCGUGAGUGAAGAAGGUCUUCGGAUCGUAAAGCUCUGUUGUAAGUGAAGAACGGAUCAUAGAGGAAAUGCUAUGGGAGUGACGGUAGCUUACCAGAAAGCCACGGCUAACUACGUGCCAGCAGCCGCGGUAAUACGUAGGUGGCAAGCGUUAUCCGGAAUCAUUGGGCGUAAAGGGUGCGUAGGUGGCGUACUAAGUCUGUAGUAAAAGGCAAUGGCUCAACCAUUGUAAGCUAUGGAAACUGGUAUGCUGGAGUGCAGAAGAGGGCGAUGGAAUUCCAUGUGUAGCGGUAAAAUGCGUAGAUAUAUGGAGGAACACCAGUGGCGAAGGCGGUCGCCUGGUCUGUAACUGACACUGAGGCACGAAAGCGUGGGGAGCAAAUAGGAUUAGAUACCCUAGUAGUCCACGCCGUAAACGAUGAGAACUAAGUGUUGGAGGAAUUCAGUGCUGCAGUUAACGCAAUAAGUUCUCCGCCUGGGGAGUAUGCACGCAAGUGUGAAACUCAAAGGAAUUGACGGGGGCCCGCACAAGCGGUGGAGU
RNAcentral lists this ribosomal RNA (944 nucleotides) under human gut metagenome. RNAcentral describes it as "bacterial SSU rRNA". It matches the Rfam family "Bacterial small subunit ribosomal RNA", at positions 8 to 938 of the family's 1533-position model. The record is from RNAcentral.